RNAcentral lists this non-coding RNA (492 nucleotides) under Pan troglodytes (chimpanzee). Lineage: Eukaryota; Metazoa; Chordata; Mammalia; Primates; Hominidae. RNAcentral also lists the same sequence under 1 other name. The record is from RNAcentral.
AUUGUUUUUUGCUGUUGGCUAAGGAGGAGAACCACAGAAAUUUGUUCCACCUUCUGUUAGGUGGGAGAGGCAUGGUUUUUCCAGUGACUUAGGAGCCCCUCGUGCUGAUGUGUUAGGGUGACUGUUUUGAUUAUGUUGGAAUCACAGGCUAGAGCUGUCUCUUCACCCAGAUCUUCGGGGUCGGUGUGAAGACUGCUGACCGGUGGUACCGGGAAGGACUGCGAACCUUAGAUGACCUCCGAGAGCAGCCCCAGAAACUAACCCAACAGCAGAAAGCGGGGCUCCAGCACCACCAGGACCUGAGCACCCCAGUCCUGCGGUCCGAUGUAGAUGCCCUGCAGCAGGUGGUGGAGGAAGCUGUGGGGCAGGCCCUGCCUGGGGCCACCGUCACGCUGACCGGCGGCUUCCGCAGGGCCAUGACGUGGACUUCCUCAUCACCCACCCCAAGGAGGGUCAGGAGGCGGGGCUGCUGCCUAGAGUGAUGUGCCGCCU